Molecule: long non-coding RNA, 1051 nt
Filed under: Camelus dromedarius (Arabian camel)
Lineage: Eukaryota; Metazoa; Chordata; Mammalia; Artiodactyla; Camelidae
Description: lncRNA (ENSCDRG00005003061.1)
Source: RNAcentral
CUUGAAGCGCUUCCUCCGGCGCAGGAAGCUGCCGUUGUCGCAUGUCGGCGGACUCAGGGUCGAGCGUCCAGUAGUUGCCUUUGCCGGUUGCCGGGUUCGCGGGGAAUCUUGACGAAGCAGUCGUUGAGCGAGAGAUUGUGGCGGAUGCUGUUCUGCCAGGCGGGGAACUUCUCCCGGUAGUAGGGGAAGCGGCCGCUGAUGAACUCGCAGAUCUCGCUCAGCGUCAGCCGUUUCUUGGGGCUCUGCAGGAUGGCCAUGGUGAUGAGCGCGAUGUACGAGUAGGGCGGCUUCACCAGGGGGUUCUUGGCGCCUCCGCCCGAGCUCACGCUCCCGCCGCCGCUCGCGCCCCGCUGCCGCCGCCACCGGCCCCGCCCCGGUCCCUCCACUGGGGCUGGCCCGGGUGCCGGGACCCCCCCUGUCCGCUGGCACAGCUGUCAUCGUCGUCCUCCUCCUCCUCCAGGUCCUCUAGCUCGUCUUCCCCGGCGUACGAGCGCCGCCGCCGCCGCCGCUGCGCGGGGACAGCCAGCCGGGGCCCGCCACCGCCGCCCUCGUCGUCGUCCUCCUCUUCCUCGUCGUCUUCGUCCUCGCCCUCCCCCACCACGUCGAUGUCUGUCUCCUCGGCGAGGCCAGAGGCAUCGGACAUCUCCGUACUCAGGGUCAUAGCUGUGGCGCGGCGGCGGCGAGGCGGCAUAGGGGCGCCGGGCUCCGGGCUCCCGCCGCGCCCCAGCCCAGGUCUCGGGAGGCGGGCUUGGCCCGGGGGCGCCACGCUGGGGGGGGCGCCCUGCGGCUCACUCGCCGCCCCCCCAGCGUGGAGGCUUGCCUGCGACUUUGUAACUCCUGCACCGCCGCUGUAGCCCCAGGAUCUCCGCGCUCCCUUGGCUCAGCGUGCACCCGGCCGGGGCGGGGGACUUGACCUUCCUCUCUCCCAGCGCCUCUCGCCGGUUCAGUUGAGGAGGGGGUGGCGGGGCCCCGGGCGAGCAAGUUAAAACGUCGGGAGCCCGGAGGGUGCGGGACGGGUUAGAGUCUAGGGACAGAGCUCGGCGAGGAGAGG